AAGCGCUUGAGAUCAGACUUCCUGUCCUGACUGUCCCGGCUUCUGCUGGGGUCAACAGUCUGGACGUGGAGGCCAGCAUCAGUUUCGGCGGUCGGAUAAAGGCGGCGGGAAGGUAGCUCUCCUCGGGGAGUGUUAUAGCCCAUCGCGCAAUACGGCCAGCCGGGACUGAGGACCGCGGCUCUGCCUAGGAUGCUGGCGUAAUGGUCUCAAACGA
RNAcentral lists this ribosomal RNA (214 nucleotides) under Taphrinales sp. Its description in RNAcentral is "partial large subunit ribosomal RNA". Lineage: Eukaryota; Fungi; Ascomycota; Taphrinomycetes; Taphrinales. The record is from RNAcentral.